CUUCGCCAUCGGGGAUCGCCUGACGCCUCUCAUUUUCGGGUUUUGUUUUGGGAUUGGGAAUUUGGGAGUGAGUCAUGGAAAAAUGGUGAAAAAAAAAAAUGAAAUUGGAUAAUUGUAUUUUUUGUUGAUAUUUUUCAUUCCAACAAAAUAAGUAUUAGUUAUAAUUACAAGUUUUUACGUUGUACCUUCAUCAUGGCUGAAAAAAGAAGGAAGAUGAAUUCAAUAUUCUUCCAGAAGUUUCCGCGUCACUCCAACCCUAUGCCUCCAUGAAUCUAAAUUCCUGAAGUACGGCAUCAGGAUUUCAAUUUUGACAGGAAAGUGUUAAAGAAGGCCAAGAAAUUAUGUUAGAGUUUUUGGUUUCUGCGUAGUAAAGCACCAUGUGUAGAGAGAGUUAUGGAUAUUGGCAACAAGAUUCAGUUUGAAACACCUGGUGUAAUCUCAAACUUCAGGAUACAAAAGUACCACUAUGAAGAUUUUAAGAACAAGGAGAAGACACCGUAAUUAUACCCACUGCUAUGGCCCAGCUCUAAUACAUAUUUCAAAUCUUAAUAAUACAGAGCUAUGAAGAAGAAGCACAGGGAGAAGAAUAAAUUUAACUCUACCCUCUAAUACUGCCUGGCUUACUACAUACCACUCACAUUUAUAUGGCAUAACUAAAUCCAACCUUUAUCUGGCAUAUGCCAACAUGCCAAUAGCCAUAGAAACUUGGCAACUUUCAUGAACUUAAGUAACUUGCAGAGCUUGCAUGGAAGAAGAAACA
This is a long non-coding RNA of Bicyclus anynana (squinting bush brown), 760 nucleotides long. RefSeq lists it as uncharacterized. The transcript has 2 exons. The record is from RefSeq and is a predicted model, not a curated record. NCBI's taxonomy places the organism in Eukaryota, Metazoa, Arthropoda, Insecta, Lepidoptera, Nymphalidae.